Molecule: long non-coding RNA, 2324 nt
Organism: Sesamum indicum (sesame)
Lineage: Eukaryota; Viridiplantae; Streptophyta; Magnoliopsida; Lamiales; Pedaliaceae
Source: RefSeq, a predicted model, not a curated record
AGUACACUGACAAAGAUUUGAGCCCACUGGAUUUUCGCAGGUUGUGUCCUCAUUGGGAAACCUGAUUUUGACCUACUCAUGUCUGCGCUUUUUACUGCACUAUAAAAAGAACUGUCACUCUCAGCGCCGCAUAUCAUCCAUGGCACUUGCGCUCUUGAUUAUCGCCUGCUUCUUUCUAAACCCCUCGUCAGAAAUCCUCCAUCGUACAACCUCCUCCUCCGCCCUCAAGAACCUCCACCUCCUCCUCCAGAACCUCCGCCUCCUCCUUCAGAACCUCCGCCAUGGUUUUCCCUUGAGCGUUUCUGAUGGUUCUCAGAGAAAACCCUCCGACUUAAGUUAAUUUGUGACUACAGAUUGGGUAUGGCUCUUGUGCAAGAACAUCCUAUGAAAUUUAAAUCUUCCUUGAAUCUCCACAAAAAAGUUCAAUUCGAUAGAAUUGCAAGCUCAAGGGAUAAAGAAGAUAUUCUCUCACCUUGAACUGGGUUAGCAACUUUGCACGGGUAUCUCAAGGUCAAGAUGCUCAUGCAAAUCACAUAACUCAACAUGCACCAACAAUGAGCAACAUCAAAUUGUUUUUUGCCACAAAUGAGAAUUCUGUGUCCCGGUGCCCAAUCCAACAUAAGGGUUCUUAAGAGGCAUACCUCAUUCCUGGCAGAAAUCAAUUUGAUGUUGCUGAGUGUCGAAGCAAUCUGAGUUAUGUGAUCGGAAAGAGCAUCUCGACCUUUAGAUAUCCUUGAAAGCUGCAAACCCAAAUUUCAGUUUCCAUCGAGAGAAUAUCUUUUUUGUCCCUCAAGGCUUGCAAUUCUAUAGAAUUAGAAUUUUUGUGCUGAUUUGAGGAAAAUUCACAUUUCAUAAGAUGUUCUCGCACAACAGCAGUUAGAACUAGCAUUGUAUUGAAAGAGCUCUAGGAAUAGGCCUAAACAUGGAAAGGAAAUGGAGAAUCUUGUUGGAACCAGCAAUGUAUUGAAGCUAUCAAGAGGGCUUUAGUGGGAAAAGGAUAAAAUAGCUAUAGAAAGAGCAAUACGAGAACCUCAUGAGAGGGCAUUUGCUGAAGCUGGAGAGAGUUCAACAAAGAGUUCUGGUAGAGGCUUAGGAGAAGCUUGAGAAAGCCUCUUUGGUGAAGCAAUCGGCUGAUAAGGCCUCCACACAAGUCAAGCUUAGAGCAGAAUGAGCUGCAGCGGAAAGAGCCACAACAGAGGCCCGUGAGCUUGCUCUAGAGAAAGCAAAGAACACAGGCUGACAGAUACCCCACAGAAAGGAUCUGGAAAAUGGAUGAGUACUGAAUCAGUGCCGAGAUGUGAAGCAAGAUUAGAGAGGCAUCGGAGGAUAAUGGAGCAAGCAGCAAAAGCACUUUCAGAGAAGAAUAUACAUGAUCCACUUGCCCGAAAAGAGCAGGCUGAGAGAAAUACAAUUUCUCUUACGACAAAUUUGAAUUACAAUGACUGACGAAAUCCCUGUAGAUUUGUAUUAUGACAAGACUCUGUGUCUUAUUGCAGAGACUAGCUGAAUCAUUUGAUGCUGAUAUUAAGAGAUGGACCACGCAAAAGUAGGGGAACUUGCAAUGCACUUCUCUCGACCUUGCGAUAUAUCCUUGGGCCAGACAGCGGCCGGCAGCCUAUUUCCCUGACAGAGAUCGUAACAACUGCUGCUGUAAACUGUAAAGAAAGCUUACAGGAAGGCAACUCUUUAUGCGCAUCCUGACAAAGUGCAUCAAGGAGGAGCUACCAUUCAGAAAAAAUACAUAUGCGAAAUUCUUCCGGUAAUCAGUUGAUGCACAUCUUGUAGCAUCACGUCGCUGUAAAGUCAGUAACACCUGAAGUGUAAAUUAGGAUAAUCCACAUGAAGAAAGUAGCAACUUCAAGUGACAGUAUUUGCCUCAAUGGGUUUUUGUUUCUAUACUCGUGUUACUUUCUCGCUUGGCUAUACAUCUCACAGACGCUCAAUGCUCUAUCUACGACAGGCGGCAUGGAACAGGUUCAACUCUGAGGAGAGGUGAAUACAAUGCAUUAGGCAAUAGUAUCCAGGGAUGUAUUUGUUUAAAUCAAUUUAUUUUUUCAUCUUGGAGAUGAGGUGCAUUCUCCCUAAUAUCACCAGAUGGGAGAACUGAAAAUGUGUUAGUGAAAUGCUUUAUCUUCAUAUCAAUGCGUAAUGUAAUUCAAUAACCAUGCAUCAGUUGAUAUGCAGAAAAGUGAAUAUAAUAUAGUUCAGACAGAUAACCCCGUUUUCUUACACUGCAAUGGGAGUCUGUUUAUUGGCAGUUGUGUAGGACUUUGGGAACGGACACCAUUGUAACAUUGGAAACAUACAUACACUAAAGAUUCCGA